GAUGAAGAACGCAGCGAAAUGCGAUAAGUAGUGUGAAUUGCAGAAUUCAGUGAAUCAUCGAAUCUUUGAACGCACAUUGCGCCCUUUGGUAUUCCUUAGGGCAUGCCUGUUCGAGCGUCAUUUAAACCUUCAAGCUAAGCUUGGUGUUGGGUGACUGUCCGCUUCACUGCGGACUCGCCUCAAAAUUAUUGGCGGCCGGUACAUUGGCUUCGAGCGCAGCAGAAACGCGAACUCGGGCCCGUCGUAUUGGCUCCCAGAAGCUAUCUUCACAAUUUUGACCUCGGAUCAGGUAGGGAUACCAGCUGAACUUAAGCAUAUCAAUAAGCGGAGGA
Molecule: unclassified non-coding RNA, 332 nt
Filed under: soil metagenome
Description: partial contains 5.8S ribosomal RNA, internal transcribed spacer 2, and large subunit ribosomal RNA
Rfam family: 5.8S ribosomal RNA (bases 1-120)
Source: RNAcentral